RNAcentral lists this ribosomal RNA (254 nucleotides) under uncultured bacterium. RNAcentral describes it as "partial 16S ribosomal RNA". It matches the Rfam family "Bacterial small subunit ribosomal RNA", at positions 524 to 776 of the family's 1533-position model. The record is from RNAcentral.
UACGUAGGGUGCAAGCGUUAAUCGGAAUUACUGGGCGUAAAGCGUGCGCAGGCGGUUUUGUAAGUCAGAUGUGAAAUCCCCGGGCUCAACCUGGGAACUGCGUUUGAAACUACAAGGCUAGAGUGUAGCAGAGGGGGGUAGAAUUCCACGUGUAGCAGUGAAAUGCGUAGAGAUGUGGAGGAAUACCAAUGGCGAAGGCAGCCCCCCUGGGUUAACACUGACGCUCAUGCACGAAAGCGUGGGGAGCAAACAGG